This 911-nucleotide ribosomal RNA is filed under the name uncultured Nitrososphaerota archaeon. Its description in RNAcentral is "bacterial SSU rRNA". It matches the Rfam family "Archaeal small subunit ribosomal RNA", at positions 4 to 921 of the family's 1478-position model. Lineage: Archaea; Thermoproteati; Nitrososphaerota. The record is from RNAcentral.
CCGGUUGAUCCUGCCGGACCUGACUGCUAUCGGAUUGAUACUAGGCCAUGCGAGUCAUUGUAGCAAUACAAGGCAUACGGCUCAGUAACGCGUAGUCAACCUACCCUAUGGACGGAAAUAACCUCGGGAAACUGAGAAUAAUAUCCGAUAGAACAUUAUGCCUGGAAUGGUUUAUGUUCCAAAUGAUUUAUCGCCGUAGGAUGGGACUGCGGCCUAUCAGUUUGUUGGUGAGGUAAUGGCCCACCAAGACUAUUACAGGUACGGGCUCUGAGAGGAGUAGCCCGGAGAUGUGUACUGAGACACGGACCCAGGCCCUAUGGGGCGCAGCAGGCGAGAAAACUUUGCAAUGUGCGAAAGCACGACAAGGUUAAUCCGAGUGAUUUCUGCUAAAGAAAUCUUUUGUUAGUCCUAGAAACACUAACGAAUAAGGGGUGGGCAAGUUCUGGUGUCAGCCGCCGCGGUAAAACCAGCACCUCAAGUGGUCAGGAUGAUUAUUGGGCCUAAAGCAUCCGUAGCCGGCUCUGUAAGUCCUCGGUUAAAUCUGUACGCUUAACGUACAGGCUGCCGGGAAUACUGCAUAGCUAGGGAGUGGGAGAGGUAGACGGUACUCGGUAGGAAGGGGUAAAAUCCUUUGAUCUAUUGAUGACCACCUGUGGCGAAGGCGGUCUACCAGAACACGUCCGACGGUGAGGGAUGAAAGCUGGGGGAGCAAACCGGAUUAGAUACCCGGGUAGUCCCAGCUGUAAACUAUGCAAACUCAGUGAUGCAUUGGCUUGUGGCCAAUGCAGUGCUGCAGGGAAGCCGUUAAGUUUGCCGCCUGGGAAGUACGUACGCAAGUAUGAAACUUAAAGGAAUUGGCGGGGGAGCACCACAAGGGGUGAAGCCUGCGGUUCAAUUGGAGUCAACGCCGG